This 565-nucleotide ribosomal RNA is filed under the name Leucophora maculipennis. RNAcentral describes it as "partial large subunit ribosomal RNA". The stretch from base 1 to 324 matches the Rfam family "Eukaryotic large subunit ribosomal RNA", at positions 122 to 664 of the family's 3401-position model. The record is from RNAcentral. Lineage: Eukaryota; Metazoa; Arthropoda; Insecta; Diptera; Anthomyiidae.
UGUCUUUAUGGCAAAUGUGAGAUGCAGUGUAUGGAAUGUCAAAUUUCUAGUAUGAUAAAUUAACGAUUUAAGUCCUUCUUAAAUGAGGCCAUUUACCCACAGAGGGUGCCAGGCCCGUAUAACGUUAAUGAUUAUUAGAUGACAUUUCCAAAGAGUCGUGUUGCUUGAUAGUGCAGCACUAAGUGGGUGGUAAACUCCAUCUAAAACUAAAUAUAACCAUGAGACCGAUAGUAAACAAGUACCGUGAGGGAAAGUUGAAAAGAACUCUGAAUAGAGAGUUAAAUAGUACGUGAAACUGCUUAGAGGUUAAGCCCGAUGAACCUGAAUAUCCUUUAUGGAAAAUUCAUCAUUAUGAUUUUAAUAUUUAAAAAAAUAUUAUAAUAAUGGUGUGCAUUUUUUCCAUAUAAUGGACAUUGUAAUCUAUUAAUAUUAUUAUAUAAUAUUUAUCAUAAGAUCAAUUAGCUUUUAGUUUAUUCAAAUUAUUUUGCUUUUGCAUUUUAACAUAGAAUAAAUGCUUUUGAUUUGAUAAAGUAUUGAUAGAUUUAUUAUAUAUAGUGCUUGAAUA